RNAcentral lists this long non-coding RNA (1188 nucleotides) under Mytilus galloprovincialis (Mediterranean mussel). Lineage: Eukaryota; Metazoa; Mollusca; Bivalvia; Mytilida; Mytilidae. The record is from RNAcentral.
AUAAAAUAGAUAUACGAAUAAUAAUAAAAUUAAGUAAGAUAAAAUAAAAUUAGAAUUUUCAAUGUAAAUAUAUGUAUAAAUUUGGCUUUGGUUGCCAUGGGGACAGGGGCCUCCGGCAGCCAUUAUCAUUUUUUUUUUUUUUAUUUUAGAAUCUGUUAAUACAUUAUAAUCAUGGGAUAGUUAUCGUUUAGUUUAUAGAAUGAAUACUCUUAGAUAGAAGUAGCUUUAUUCAGAUUUGUGAUUUCUUUUUUGAUAUUUUUUGUUUUUCCUAUUUUUGGUAGUUAGGAUUUUUUUUUUAGAAUUUUUUAUCACUGGCUUGGAUGGGGGAUAUUGUUACAAGGAAGGCUUUGGGUAACAAUAUUGUGGCGAAUGUAACCCCAUCUUUGAUGGGAUGGGUCAAUAAGGUUUUGUCAUUAUAACCAUAUAAUAUGUUGUUUAUAAAUAAGAUUUAUUGAUUUCAUUAUACAUGUUUUUCAUUGUGUUGCUUCUUCGUCAUUUUAAUAAUAAAUGACAGUUUUCAAUUCUUAAAUAUUUGUUUGUUUGUCAUUCUUUCAUCCCAUCAAACAGAGCAAGCCUGUGUUGACAAAAAUGCUAAUUUUUAUUAAAAAUGAUUUUUUGGCAAACUAGGCGGUACUAUGGAAAGCGGCAUAACUCUUUGUUCUUAUUUGGUAGAAACGCAAAUACCAAGUUAUUCCUUCCCCUGAUCAUGUUAUAUGAUCUCAGAAGGCGCUUCAGUUGCAGUUAGAAGUGGCAGGAAAAUUUUGGAACUAAAAAUUAUACCCACCAUCCCUCCCUGGAUAGCUAAUUCGGAUUUUGUCAUGAUGUUUGAACCAAUUUAAAUUGAAAUAUUUUAAUUUUGUUUAAUAAUGAAUAUUGUGUAUUCAUGUUUUAUUUGGUUUAACAAUAUGUCAGUGUUUAUAUUCGAAUGUAACACCAUCUCUGAUGGGCGAAUGUAACCCCAUCUUUGAUGGGAUGGGUCAAUAAGGUUUUGUCAUUAUAACCAUAUAAUAUGUUGUUUAUAAAUAAGAUUUAUUGAUUUCAUUAUACAUGUUUUUUCAUUGUGUUGCUUCUUCGUCAUUUUAAUAAUAAAUGACAGUUUUCAAUUCUUAAAUAUUUGUUUGUUUGUCAUUCUUUCAUCCCAUCAAACAGAGCAAGCCUGUGUUGACAAAAAAGUUAUUGUCUGUUUUC